CCUACGGGUGGCUGCAGUGAGGAAUAUUGCGCAAUGGCCGAAAGGCUGACGCAGCGACGCCGCGUGAGGGAUGAAGUCCGUUAGGAUGUAAACCUCUUUUGCAGGGGAUGAAUGUCUCGCUAUACGCGGGAUUGACCGUACCCUGCGAAUAAGGAUCGGCUAACUACGUGCCAGCAGCCGCGGUAAUACGUAGGAUCCGAGCGUUGUCCGGAAUUGAUGGGUGGUGUAGGCGUGUUGCUAGGUUCCUGAGGAAAUCCCGCAGCUUAACUGCGGAAUUGCCGUCGAUACUGGGGAUCUUGAGUACGGCAGAGGGAGAUGGAAUUCAUGGUGUAGCGGUGAAAUGUGUAGAGAUCAUGAAGAACACCGGUAGCGAAGGCGGUCUCCUGGUCCGUAACUGACACUGAUGCGCGAAAGCGUGGGGAGCGAACAGGAUUAGAUACCCGGGUAGUC
This 450-nucleotide ribosomal RNA is filed under the name uncultured bacterium. RNAcentral describes it as "partial 16S ribosomal RNA". It matches the Rfam family "Bacterial small subunit ribosomal RNA", at positions 338 to 795 of the family's 1533-position model. The record is from RNAcentral.